AGAGUGGUCAGCUUGUCAUCCUUCGUCGAAAAAUUAAACUGUGUAUAUGUGUAAAAUAUUACGUUUUAGAGGUAUAUAAUACAUAUUGAACAUCCUUUGUCGGGUUCACUUCUUUCAGAUUUGAAUACUCUUGGGUAAAUUCCUCGCUUCUCCACUGAACAACAUAGCAUUAGAAAGACCAUCUUUUUUCCUUACCAGAACAAGCUGCAACAAACAGCAAUAUUAUGUUACAUUUCAAGACUCAAACUCACAUUUAAAGAAAGAAAAAAUACUCACCUUAUAUACCCAGAAACAGUAACCAAUCAACUUCGUGAAGCCUAAAACUUCACCAAACUUAGGAGGCAUUUGUUCAACACCACUUCUUGCAAAGAGCAAAUUUCUAGUUGUUUUUUUAAAACUUUGUUUUUUUUUUAAGUUUAUGAAAUGUUAUGCGAAAAAUCUAUCAAUUUUUUGCAAGAACUUCCUCCAAAGGACACCUUAACAUUCGGAUAAUAGCAAGUGAAAAAAAAAACUAAAAUCACCGGCUUCAAAAAAAAAAAUUCAAAAGCUUAAAAUGUUGAAGUCAAAUUUGUGAAACCUGAAUGUUCAAAGGCAAUGGCGGGCAGCAAUGAGAAACAGGCCAAGUGCGAGAGCUUGUGGACGGAAUUCGAGCCCUAAUUCAGUUUUCUCUCUUG
This 674-nucleotide long non-coding RNA is filed under the name Nicotiana tabacum (common tobacco). RNAcentral's name for it is "long non-coding RNA (NTAB_LNC018656)". The record is from RNAcentral. Lineage: Eukaryota; Viridiplantae; Streptophyta; Magnoliopsida; Solanales; Solanaceae.